This 429-nucleotide ribosomal RNA is filed under the name Actinomycetes bacterium. RNAcentral describes it as "Actinobacteria bacterium partial 16S ribosomal RNA". It matches the Rfam family "Bacterial small subunit ribosomal RNA", at positions 355 to 776 of the family's 1533-position model. Lineage: Bacteria; Bacillati; Actinomycetota; Actinomycetes. The record is from RNAcentral.
UAGGGAAUCUUCCGCAAUGGGCGAAAGCCUGACGGAGCAACGCCGCGUGAGUGAUGAAGGUCUUCGGAUCGUAAAACUCUGUUAUUAGGGAAGAACAAAUGUGUAAGUAACUAUGCACGUCUUGACGGUACCUAAUCAGAAAGCCACGGCUAACUACGUGCCAGCAGCCGCGGUAAUACGUAGGUGGCAAGCGUUAUCCGGAAUUAUUGGGCGUAAAGCGCGCGUAGGCGGUUUUUUAAGUCUGAUGUGAAAGCCCACGGCUCAACCGUGGAGGGUCAUUGGAAACUGGAAAACUUGAGUGCAGAAGAGGAAAGUGGAAUUCCAUGUGUAGCGGUGAAAUGCGCAGAGAUAUGGGGGAACACCAGUGGCAAAGGCGACUUUCUGGUCUGUAACUGACGCUGAUGUGCGAAAGCGUGGGGAUCAAACAGG